Long non-coding RNA from Homo sapiens (human), 695 nucleotides. Ensembl annotates it as PEF1 and COL16A1 antisense RNA 1. Its record names the gene PEF1-AS1. The record is from Ensembl. Lineage: Eukaryota; Metazoa; Chordata; Mammalia; Primates; Hominidae.
AGCUAAGUGAUUGAUGGAGCUUCCGGAAGUCUUGGCGGCUGUACCAGCGCUAAUGUUCCUCCUUUUCCUGAGGUGGAGUGGGCCGAAGAGGUAUUCUAAUCACAGAAUUACUGGAGCAUCAAGAAGUGCCUGCAUGCUUGGAAGGGCUUCCAGGCAGAUGAACACACCUCAGCACCGGGUGGCAUUUUCCCAGGGUGCAACCCGGACCGGCUCUGGGUCACACUGACAAGCCUCUCCGACUCCCCAGGCUGGGUUGGGUGCUCCUCCCUCUCAUCCCACAGCGCUAUGUCUCAUGUCUUCUGGAAAACUUGCCAAUCCCUAGUGACAACAGGGUUAACAAUUUCCAGAGACAGCCCGUACAUAGAAGGAAUGUUUACUGAAAAAAAUGAAGAGGGGUCAGGGCAAGGCGAGGAGCAAGAAGCACCCCCAAGGAAACAGAGAAGACCAGUACAACUGUACCUCUUUGCCAGCUGCACCAUCCGUACCAGUCUCCUGGGGUGGAAGUGUCCAGCACAGAGACUGCCACACUGCAAGACGAAGGGGCUGGACACACGGAAGAGAGAGGCGGAACCCUGCACCCCCUCAACCUCAGCCCUACUGAGUCUCCAAUGGGGCCACGCUUCUGAGUGCACCUCCCCGUGUCAUCUGUAAUGUGAGGGGGAACCAGGCUUGAUAUGGCAUUCCCAAUCCAGGGC